GACGAACGCUGGCGGCGUGCCUAAUACAUGCAAGUCGAGCGGACGAAUCGAAAGCUUGCUUUUGAUUCGUUAGCGGCGGACGGGUGAGUAACACGUGGGCAACCUGCCCUGUAGACGGGGAUAACAUCGAGAAAUCGGUGCUAAUACCGGAUAACACGAAAUGUCGCAUGACGCUUCGUUGAAAGACGGCGCAGGCUGUCGCUACAGGAGGGGCCCGCGGCGCAUUAGCUAGUUGGUGAGGUAACGGCUCACCAAGGCGACGAUGCGUAGCCGACCUGAGAGGGUGAUCGGCCACACUGGGACUGAGACACGGCCCAGACUCCUACGGGAGGCAGCAGUAGGGAAUCUUCCGCAAUGGACGAAAGUCUGACGGAGCAACGCCGCGUGAGCGAAGAAGGCCUUCGGGUCGUAAAGCUCUGUUGUUAGGGAAGAACAAGUAACGCAGUAACUGGCGUUACCUUGACGGUACCUAACGAGAAAGCCACGGCUAACUACGUG
Molecule: ribosomal RNA, 498 nt
Filed under: uncultured bacterium
Lineage: Bacteria
Description: partial 16S ribosomal RNA
Rfam family: Bacterial small subunit ribosomal RNA
Source: RNAcentral